CAGUCGCCACGGGAAUACAGAGGGUGCAAGCGUUAAUCGGAAUUACUGGGCGUAAAGCGCGCGUAGGUGGUUUGUUAAGUUGGAUGUGAAAGCCCCGGGCUCAACCUGGGAACUGCAUCCAAAACUGGCAAGCUAGAGUACGGUAGAGGGUGGUGGAAUUUCCUGUGUAGCGGUGAAAUGCGUAGAUAUAGGAAGGAACACCAGUGGCGAAGGCGACCACCUGGACUGAUACUGACACUGAGGUGCGAAAGCGUGGGGAGCAAACAGGAUUAGAUACCCCCGUAGUCCCUGUCUCUUAUCC
Molecule: ribosomal RNA, 301 nt
Filed under: uncultured bacterium
Lineage: Bacteria
Description: partial 16S ribosomal RNA
Rfam family: Bacterial small subunit ribosomal RNA
Source: RNAcentral